AACCUCCGCAAUGUGAGAAAUCGCGACGGGGGGAUCCCAAGUGCCAUUCUUAACGGGAUGGCUUUUCAUUAGUGUAAAGAGCUUUUUGGAAUAAGAGCUGGGCAAGACCGGUGCCAGCCGCCGCGGUAACACCGGCAGCUCUAGUGGUAACAAUUUUUAUUGGGCCUAAAGCGUCCGUAGCCGGUUUAAUAAGUCUCUGGUGAAAUCCUGCAGCUUAACUGUGGGAAUUGCUGGAGAUACUAUUAGACUUGAGACCGGGAGAGGUUAGAGGUACUCCCAGGGUAGAGGUGAAAUUCUGUAAUCCUGGGAGGACCGCCUGUUGCGAAGGCGUCUAACUGGAACGGUUCUGACGGUGAGGGACGAAAGUUAGGGGCGCGAACCGGAUUAGAUACCCGGGUAGUCCUAACUGUAAACGAUGCGGACUUGGUGUUGGGGUGGCUUUGAGCUGCUUCAGUGCCGAAGGGAAGCUGUUAAGUCCGCCGCCUGGGAAGUACGGUCGCAAGACUGAAACUUAAAGGAAUU
RNAcentral lists this ribosomal RNA (522 nucleotides) under uncultured bacterium. RNAcentral describes it as "bacterial SSU rRNA". It matches the Rfam family "Archaeal small subunit ribosomal RNA", at positions 345 to 866 of the family's 1478-position model. The record is from RNAcentral.